CAAACGGCUCUUUUCAGAGCCACCCACUUUGUUGAAAGAAAGUUCU
Molecule: non-coding RNA, 46 nt
Filed under: Marmota monax (woodchuck)
Lineage: Eukaryota; Metazoa; Chordata; Mammalia; Rodentia; Sciuridae
Rfam family: Histone 3' UTR stem-loop
About the family: The mRNAs of metazoan histone genes lack a poly-A tail. 3' end processing occurs at a site between a highly conserved stem-loop (modelled by this family) and a purine rich region around 20 nts downstream (the histone downstream element, or HDE).
Source: RNAcentral